AUUGAACGCUGGCGGCAUGCUUUACACAUGCAAGUCGAACGGCAGCGCGGGCUGCGGCCUGGCGGCGAGUGGCGAACGGGUGAGUAAGGCAUCGGAAGGUGCCCAGUAGUGGGGGAUAGGACGGCGAAAGCCGGAUGAAUACCGCAUACGACCUGAGGGUGAAAGGGGGGGACCGAAAGGGCUAGCGGGAUUGGAGCGGCCGAUGACGGAUUAGCGAGUUGGUGGGGUAAAGGCUUACCAAGGCGACGAUCCGUAGCUGGUCUGAGAGGACGACCAGCCACACUGGGACUGAGACACGGCCCAGACUCCUACGGGAGGCAGCAGUGGGGAAUUUUCGGCAAUGGGGGCAACCCUGACGCAGCCAUGCCGCGUGCGGGAUGAAGGCCUUCGGGUCGUAAAACGCUUUUGUUCGGGAAGAACUCCUCUGUGCUAAUCCACCGGCGGCAUGACGGUACCGGAACAAUAAGCAACGGCUAACUACGUG
RNAcentral lists this ribosomal RNA (484 nucleotides) under uncultured bacterium. RNAcentral describes it as "partial 16S ribosomal RNA". It matches the Rfam family "Bacterial small subunit ribosomal RNA", at positions 29 to 507 of the family's 1533-position model. The record is from RNAcentral.